UACGAAGGUUGCAAGCGUUGUUCGGAAUCACUGGGCUUAAAGCGCAUGUAGGCGGAUAAGUAAGCGUUUUGUGAAAUCCCCCGGCUUAACCUGGGAACUGCAUUCGAGACUGCAUUGCUCGAGUAUGGGAGAGGGAAGUGGAAUUUCCGGUGUAGCGGUGAAAUGCGUAGAUAUCGGAAGGAACAUCAGUGGCGAAAGCGGCUCACUGGACCAUAACUGACGCUGAUGCACGAAAGCUAGGGGAGCAAACAGG
This 253-nucleotide ribosomal RNA is filed under the name uncultured bacterium. Its description in RNAcentral is "partial 16S ribosomal RNA". It matches the Rfam family "Bacterial small subunit ribosomal RNA", at positions 524 to 776 of the family's 1533-position model. The record is from RNAcentral.